GAAUCUGUCCGUUGGUCGGGCCACUGGUAUGCACUGGCCUCACUGGUUCCUCCUUCCUGAUGAACCGUAAUGCCACUAAUUUGGUGUUGCGGGGAAACUGGACUGUUACUUUGAAAAAAUUAGAGUGUUUAAAGCAGGCUAACGCUUGAAUACAUUAGCAUGGAAUAAUGAAAUAGGACGCUCGAUCCUAUUUUGUUGGUUUCUAAGAUUGACGUAAUGA
This 220-nucleotide ribosomal RNA is filed under the name uncultured fungus. RNAcentral's name for it is "partial 18S ribosomal RNA". The stretch from base 47 to 220 matches the Rfam family "Eukaryotic small subunit ribosomal RNA", at positions 693 to 868 of the family's 1831-position model. The record is from RNAcentral. Lineage: Eukaryota; Fungi.